This 146-nucleotide small RNA is filed under the name Prunus dulcis (almond). Its description in RNAcentral is "sRNA ncRNA". The record is from RNAcentral. Lineage: Eukaryota; Viridiplantae; Streptophyta; Magnoliopsida; Rosales; Rosaceae.
CCAUUUUGGCUAAGCUUUUUGCAAGGAUCCUUGAGGGUAUGGAUAGGGACUGUUCGGUCUACUUUGGAGAACCUUCCUGUAUAUAUAUAUAUAUAUAUAUAUAUAUAUAUAUAUAUAUAUAUAUAUAUAUAUAUAUAUAUAUACUC